RNAcentral lists this ribosomal RNA (201 nucleotides) under uncultured bacterium. RNAcentral describes it as "partial 16S ribosomal RNA". It matches the Rfam family "Bacterial small subunit ribosomal RNA", at positions 1300 to 1500 of the family's 1533-position model. The record is from RNAcentral.
GCAGUCUGCAACCCGACUACAUGAAGCUGGAAUCGCUAGUAAUCGCGAAUCAGAAUGUCGCGGUGAAUACGUUCCCGGGUCUUGUACACACCGCCCGUCACACCAUGGGAGUCGGAAAUGCCCGAAGUCAGUGACCCAACCGUAAGGAGGGAGCUGCCGAAGGUGGAGCCGGUAACUGGGGUGAAGUCGUAACAAGGUAGC